Non-coding RNA from Chlorocebus sabaeus (green monkey), 1469 nucleotides. The record is from RefSeq and is a predicted model, not a curated record. NCBI's taxonomy places the organism in Eukaryota, Metazoa, Chordata, Mammalia, Primates, Cercopithecidae.
AUGUCUGCAGUGUGCGUGAGUGCCUGGGUGCCUGGGCAGGUGUGUCUGCACAGUGUGCGUGAGGAACCGCAUGUGAAUGUGCGUGUGUUGCAUGUGAGCGUGUGCAUGCCUGUGCGUGUGCAUAUGUGUGUGAGCAUUGUAUGCGUGAUGGGAGCCGUGGGUGCUGUGUGGACAGCCCCUCUGCCCCUCCCAUGGGCUCCCACAUCCAGCAUCCACCUGAGAGAGGAGGGAGCGCCUUCCCAUUCUGCAGAGUCUGUGUGCUGAGGCCUCACAGAGGCAAGUGGAGGAGCUGGGAUGUGAACCUGGGAUCCCAGGGUAGGGGGCUGCUUGGCUGUGGACCCUACCCCUCAGGAGAACCCAGGGUCUAUCUCUAGAGGACUCGUUCCAGGGGCGGGGGCCUCCUCACCCGGGGCUCGAGAAGCGGCUGUCUGUUUCUUGGCUUGAGUGCUGCCGAGUGCUCCCUGUUGCUGCGCCCUCCCUCCCAGGGAGACUCGAGCCCCUAGCUCCCUGUGUUGGUGACCCACCCCGUCCACCAUCAGCAGCUGGCUGGUGUCUCUGGGUGGCUGGGCACCAGCCUCCUGGAGGCCACGUGCCUGGGUCCACAUGGAGGGUCCCGGUGGGGGCAUCAUCCUGGGUCCCGCGAGUGAGGCUGGCAGGUGACCAGUCACACUGUGGCAAAGGCAGGUUCCCAUUGGGGGCGUCAAGGCCAGGGGGAUCGAGGCUCUGGAAGCUCAAGGGGGCUGUGGCCUUGGGGCCCAGCCGAGUUUCCAGCUGGCAGCCAGGUCCUUGAGGGAAGGGGUUUAGACAGAAUCCGAGGCCCCUAAGCUGAUGGGCUUCCCUGUCUCCCCUGCCAGCCCUGACUCACUGAACCUGGGGACUCUUUCCAGCCCCGAGAGCUCCUUGUCUGUGUCCCCAGCAGAAAGUGGGGUGGCUCCUGCCUCACCCUCUGCCCAGCCCUGAUCCAGGCCAGAGCCAUCUAGGGCCCCAGAAGGAGGGGCAGGAGGCAGGAGUGGUUCUGGAACCUGAGGGUUGGCUCCGGUUGGGUCUGUCCUCAGGGCUGCACUGCUGGAUCCCAGGAGCUGGAACAGCCCUGUGGCCAGGGUGACGGAAAUGCUUGGCUGCAUGCAGACACACCCACCCCGGACUGGGCUGUCCCUGGAGCCCAGACACAUCACCCUGGGAAGGGGCAGCUGGGCGCCCUGGUUGUGGGUUCUCCAGGGUCCCUUAGGGGACUGGGCCUCUCCCCAGGAAGGAAGGUGGGAAGCACAGGCAUGACCUGGGGUUCCUGAGGCGGGUCCGCCAAGUUGCUUCUGAGAUGCCUUCGCUUCUCUCCCGGCUGUCUGAUAAUGGAUAUCUCUGUUCUAAUUCCACUCUGGCUAAACUGAAAGUAAAGACCCUUAAGCUUACAUGUGUCUACCCCUCAGAGUCAGAAUAAAAACAAAAGCGCCUGAGUGUCCAGCAGGCAUGAG